UACAGAGGGGGCAAGCGUUGUUCGGAAUUACUGGGCGUAAAGGGCGCGUAGGCGGCCUGUUAAGUCGAACGUGAAAUCCCCGGGCUCAACCGGGGAACUGCGUCUGAUACUGGGUGGCUUGAAUCCGGGAGAGGGAUGCGGAAUUCCAGGUGUAGCGGUGAAAUGCGUAGAUAUCUGGAGGAACACCGGUGGCGAAGGCGGCAUCCUGGACCGGCAUUGACGCUGAGGCGCGAAAGCCAGGGGAGCAAACGGG
This 253-nucleotide ribosomal RNA is filed under the name uncultured bacterium. Its description in RNAcentral is "partial 16S ribosomal RNA". It matches the Rfam family "Bacterial small subunit ribosomal RNA", at positions 524 to 776 of the family's 1533-position model. The record is from RNAcentral.